RNAcentral lists this ribosomal RNA (655 nucleotides) under Staphylococcus aureus. RNAcentral describes it as "partial 23S ribosomal RNA". It matches the Rfam family "Bacterial large subunit ribosomal RNA", at positions 328 to 985 of the family's 2925-position model. The record is from RNAcentral. Lineage: Bacteria; Bacillati; Bacillota; Bacilli; Caryophanales; Staphylococcaceae.
AUUAGACGAAUCAUCUGGAAAGAUGAAUCAAAGAAGGUAAUAAUCCUGUAGUCGAAAAUGUUGUCUCUCUUGAGUGGAUCCUGAGUACGACGGAGCACGUGAAAUUCCGUCGGAAUCUGGGAGGACCAUCUCCUAAGGCUAAAUACUCUCUAGUGACCGAUAGUGAACCAGUACCGUGAGGGAAAGGUGAAAAGCACCCCGGAAGGGGAGUGAAAUAGAACCUGAAACCGUGUGCUUACAAGUAGUCAGAGCCCGUUAAUGGGUGAUGGCGUGCCUUUUGUAGAAUGAACCGGCGAGUUACGAUUUGAUGCAAGGUUAAGCAGUAAAUGUGGAGCCGUAGCGAAAGCGAGUCUGAAUAGGGCGUUUAGUAUUUGGUCGUAGACCCGAAACCAGGUGAUCUACCCUUGGUCAGGUUGAAGUUCAGGUAACACUGAAUGGAGGACCGAACCGACUUACGUUGAAAAGUGAGCGGAUGAACUGAGGGUAGCGGAGAAAUUCCAAUCGAACCUGGAGAUAGCUGGUUCUCUCCGAAAUAGCUUUAGGGCUAGCCUCAAGUGAUGAUUAUUGGAGGUAGAGCACUGUUUGGACGAGGGGCCCCUCUCGGGUUACCGAAUUCAGACAAACUCCGAAUGCCAAUUAAUUUAACUUGGGAGUC